Molecule: RNA transcript, 4006 nt
Organism: Drosophila yakuba
Lineage: Eukaryota; Metazoa; Arthropoda; Insecta; Diptera; Drosophilidae
Gene: kn
Gene name: transcription factor collier
Exons: 12
Source: RefSeq, a predicted model, not a curated record
CGCUGGCAAGGAUUCAGUUGGGGUUUAACAGCCACUCGGGACGGUAGCGCGCGCCGCUCAAACUUGUUGCGAGACCAAUUUUCCGAAAAUCCCAAAUUCUCUGCGGUGCAUUGGCCAGUUCACCCAAAAACACCCACACACACCAUCACUGUCUCACUUUCGUUUCGCGAUUGAUUGCCAGCUCUCCGGAGACCAAGAACCAAAAUAAUAGAAAAAGGCACCCGAUACCAAACCGCAAACCGAUCGAGUUACAAAAAAAAACACAAAAAUAAAGAAACUAAACAAAAGUAAAUCGCCUAGCAAAGAGCCUUCAAGACGGCAGCCACAAUUUCCAGCGCAGGAUUAGGAGGAGACGUCGCCGCGUACGCUGAUCUCCACCAGCACUCGCAUUCGCACCAUCCGAAUCCGCAUCCACAUCCGCAUCCACAUCCCCAUCCGUUUGCCACCGACGGCUUCAAGCUGCGUUCCGAAGAGCCGGUGCCGGGCUUCAGCUCGGCCUCCCCCUGGCCCACCCUGGAGCUGGGCAUGGAGUGGGGCCGGAAGCUGUACCCCAGUGCCGUUUCCGGUCCGCGAUCCGCCAGCGGCCUGAUGUUCGGCCUGCCGCCCACCGCCGCUGUGGACAUGAACCAGCCGCGUGGACCGAUGACCUCGCUGAAGGAGGAGCCGCUGGGCAGCCGGUGGGCCAUGCAGCCAGUCGUCGACCAGAGCAAUUUGGGCAUCGGCCGCGCCCACUUUGAGAAGCAGCCGCCCAGCAAUUUGCGCAAGUCGAACUUCUUCCACUUCGUGAUCGCCUUAUAUGAUCGGGCUGGACAGCCCAUCGAGAUUGAGCGCACGGCCUUCAUUGGAUUCAUCGAGAAGGACUCGGAGUCGGACGCCACCAAGACGAACAAUGGCAUCCAGUACCGACUGCAGUUGCUCUACGCAAAUGGAGCUCGCCAGGAGCAGGACAUUUUCGUGCGACUCAUCGAUUCGGUGACCAAGCAGGCCAUCAUAUACGAGGGUCAGGACAAGAAUCCCGAGAUGUGCCGCGUGCUCCUAACGCACGAGGUGAUGUGCAGCCGCUGCUGUGAUAAGAAGAGCUGUGGUAACCGCAACGAGACGCCAUCGGACCCCGUCAUUAUUGAUCGCUUCUUCCUGAAGUUCUUCUUGAAGUGCAAUCAAAACUGCCUGAAGAACGCCGGCAACCCGCGGGAUAUGCGCCGAUUUCAGGUGGUAAUUUCUACGCAGGUGGCCGUGGAUGGACCACUACUGGCCAUCUCCGACAACAUGUUCGUGCACAACAACUCGAAGCACGGACGGAGGGCCAAGCGGCUGGACACCACGGAAGGUACAGGCAACACAUCCCUGUCCAUUUCCGGUCACCCCCUAGCGCCCGACAGUACCUACGAUGGUCUUUACCCACCGCUGCCAGUGGCCACGCCGUGCAUUAAGGCGAUCUCGCCCAGCGAAGGCUGGACAACCGGUGGCGCCACCGUGAUCAUAGUGGGCGACAACUUCUUCGAUGGCCUCCAGGUUGUGUUCGGUACCAUGCUGGUCUGGAGCGAGCUGAUCACCUCGCAUGCCAUCCGGGUGCAGACACCGCCCAGGCACAUUCCCGGCGUGGUGGAGGUGACGCUGUCCUACAAGAGCAAACAGUUCUGCAAGGGAUCACCCGGUCGCUUCGUCUAUGUCUCAGCUCUCAACGAACCCACAAUCGACUACGGUUUCCAGCGCCUGCAGAAGCUCAUUCCCCGGCAUCCCGGCGAUCCCGAGAAGCUCCAAAAGGAGAUAAUCCUCAAGAGGGCCGCCGAUCUGGUCGAGGCACUAUACUCCAUGCCCAGCAGAUCUCCGGGCGGUUCGACGGGCUUCAAUUCCUAUGCGGGCCAACUGGCGGUCAGUGUCCAGGAUGGUACCGGCCAGUGGACCGAGGACGACUACCAGCGUGCCCAGUCGAGCAGCGUGAGUCCACGCGGUGGCUACUGCAGCAGCGCCUCCACGCCGCACAGCUCGGGAGGAUCCUACGGUGCCACGGCGGCCAGUGCAGCGGUGGCGGCCACGGCGAAUGGAUAUGCACCUACACCCAACAUGGGCACACUCUCCUCGUCGCCCGGCAGCGUCUUCAACUCCACGUCAAUGUCCGCCGUGUCGUCGACGUGGCACCAGGCGUUCGUGCAGCACCACCACGCGGCAACGGCCCACCCGCACCACCACUACCCACAUCCCCACCAGCCGUGGCACAAUCCGGCCGUGUCAGCAGCCACGGCGGCGGCCGUUUAAGCGUUUCCCGGACUCCCCAUGCCAGCCAGAUGGAGCUGAACGCAGGAUGAAGAUGUGGAGGAGGAUGAGGAUGAUGUACCAGGUUGAGCCGGACUUUUGGGGCCGAGUAACGACAUUUUGUUGAAAUUAAAUGCCACACGCCCAACACCACCCACAACCACCCACAAACCACCCACAAGUCCGAGCGAAAAGCGCACACACACGGCCAGACACCAUCUAUCAAUCCGAAACUGCAAGGACGCCCACAAUUGGCCCUCGGGUGUGUGAAUGGGUGUGUGGAUGGGGCCGCUGAAGCAAAACUGAGCAUUCAAAACACUACUCCACCAUCAACAAAACACCACAGACAACACACGAUUAACGGGGUCAGCAGUCUGAGCUUCAAUCCCUUCGCCCUGCCCACCUGCAACACACAGGGCUACAGCACCCAACUGGUGACGUCAACCAAAUAAUAUUACUACUAAAUGAGGCUAUUGGCAGGCCCCAAGUCCCCAAAUCUCCCCCUGGAGUCACAGAUACCACGCCAAUCCACAAGAAGCUCGAAAGUGCAAUAAACAGAUGAAAAUGGUUCCAAAAUUCAAAAAUCUAUUGAUAUAGUUGUAAAUUUUUUGAUUGAAUCCCGUUUAUAACUUAUUUUGAAUAUGCCUCGGUAAUAGAUUUAUAAACAUACGCAUAGAACACCAUAUCAAAGUAAAGGAAAACAUAUGAGAGAUGGGAAGGGCAUAUCAUGCAAGGGGCUCAAGAACCCAGUAGUUAAGAUCGGGCAGAAAUAGUUCUAAAAUAGCUUGAUAAAAUGCAUUUUGUAAAUAUUUAUCCCAAAGUAAAUAAAACUUAAUAAUAAUCGGAACUGUGAAUAGAGGAAAUUAUACAAAAUAUUUACCCAUGAUGAUCAAUUCUAAUACGAAUCAAGAUAUACCAAAACAGAUACAAUUUGAAUGAACUUUUGGACAUAACUAAAUGCUUGUAUACGAUACUUUCUUGGAUUAAUAUCGAAAAUAUUGAAAAAAAAAGUCUUGAAAAUACACUCUGCCAGUCGAGAGAACCGAAAUCAAAAUGUUAUAUACCUACAUAGAUAUACAAGCCAGAUUUGCAGCAUAUCUAAGCGUAAUAUUACAACAAAUUUAUACCAAACUUUUGGCAAACAUAUCGUGCACUUAGUCCUAAUAUCCACCUAAAACAAACCCAAACACAUCACUACUCAAACAUAUUUGUAUAAUGCCCAUCAUAUCCACAAUUCGAAAUUCAUUUUGAUCGAACCACUGUCUAUCAAAAUCAACACCAAAUCAUCAUUAGACAUACAUUCAUACAUUUCGCUAUUCAAGUCAGUGUUUGAUAAACUACCGAUUUGUUGACUAGAAGCUAAGCCUAGCAUACACCGGGAAAUGAUAUCUGGGGGUGCACAUACUAUAUAUAUAUACAUAUGUAGGCUUAAGUUUAUUGUUUAUUGCUCGAUUUGUAGGAGUUUUACUGUAAUUUGUAUUCGUAUUGUAUAAUAAUGUACGCUUGCACUCCUAGAACUACAAAAUAUGGACAACAAAGAAAAAAACAAAAUGGUUGGCUUCGCAAAUGGGGAGCAGCCAAUACAAGCAUAUCUAUAAGAAUCGCAUAAACAGCAGAACUUAGCCGCAAAAUCGAUUUGUAAAUUACAAUACAAUAAUUUAUAAUAACAAUCUAGCAACGCUCUCUGUUUUGUAAAUCUUAACAAGUUAUUUAAAUAAAAUUUAUUUAAAAUAAACGUAAUACGCCAUGAAAA